GUUAUAAGAGGUCAGCCUGCCCAGUGACAAAAUUUAACGGCCGCGGUACCCUGACCGUGCGAAGGUAGCAUAUAAUUUGUUCUUUAAAUAGGGACUAGUAUCAACGGCAUCACGAGGGUUUUACUGUCUCCUUUCUCCAAUCAGUGAAACUGAUCUUCCCGUGAAGAAGCGGGAAUAAACCUAUAAGACGAGAAGACCCCAUGGAGCUUUAAAUUUCACAGCAACUCAGUAACAUAUUUCCUUAUAACUCAAAGAGUUAUGCAUGCCAAUUUUAGGUUGGGGUGACCGCGGAGUAUAAAAUAACCUCCACAUCGAAAAGAACUAAAUCUUUAUUUAAGAGCCACAACUCUAAAAAUUAGUACACUAACGAACAAUGACCCGAUAAUCGAUCAACGGACCAAGUUACCCUGGGGAUAACAGCGCAAUCUACUUCAAGAGCCCAUAUCGACAAGUAGGCUUACGACCUCGAUGUUGGAUCAGGGUAUCCCAGUGGUGCAGCCGCUACUAAUGGUUCGUUUGUUCAACGAUUAAAACCCUACGUGAUCUGUUU
The sequence is a ribosomal RNA, 550 nucleotides long. It matches the Rfam family "Bacterial large subunit ribosomal RNA", at positions 1842 to 2610 of the family's 2925-position model.